RNAcentral lists this ribosomal RNA (486 nucleotides) under uncultured bacterium. Its description in RNAcentral is "bacterial SSU rRNA". It matches the Rfam family "Bacterial small subunit ribosomal RNA", at positions 28 to 507 of the family's 1533-position model. The record is from RNAcentral.
GAUGAACGCUGGCGGCGUGCUUAACACAUGCAAGUCGAACGGAGUUUACAUGUGAGCGGAGGGUGCUUGCAUCUAACAAUCUUUUGUAAACUUAGUGGCGGACGGGUGAGUAACGCGUGGGUAACCUGCCGUAUACAGGGGGACAACUGCCCGAAAGGGUGGCUAAUACCGCAUGUGGUGGUGCGUUCGAUCGCACCAGUAAAGCCGCAAGGCGCUUCGGGAGGGGCCUGCGUCCGAUUAGCUCGUUGGUGGGGUAACGGCUCACCAAGGCGACGAUCGGUAGGUGGUCUGAGAGGACGAUCACCCAGACUGGGACUGAGACACGGCCCAGACUCCUACGGGAGGCAGCAGUCGGGAAUUUUGCGCAAUGGACGAAAGUCUGACGCAGCAACGCCGCGUGAGGGAUGACGGCCUCGGUUGUAACCGUCUUUGUCUAGGGACGAGUUAUGACGGUACCGUGACGAAUAAGCCACGGCUAACUACGUG